RNAcentral lists this long non-coding RNA (1250 nucleotides) under Capra hircus (goat). RNAcentral's name for it is "lncRNA (ENSCHIG00010003932.1)". Lineage: Eukaryota; Metazoa; Chordata; Mammalia; Artiodactyla; Bovidae. The record is from RNAcentral.
UGAAAACCAUUGCAAAAUCCAUAUGGGGGCAUGCACAGUUGCAGCAUUGUUGUAAAUUUUCUUGAUCUACUAGAAAAAGUUACAUUAUCUUAAGGUAACAAAACAGUUCUUUUGUGCUUUUCGAUUUCUUUGUUUUUUUUUUUUUUCUUUUUUUUUCUUUUUUUCUUAGAAUGUUAGUGAUGACUGACAGUUCUGGUGCACAGUUACAAUGUACAAGUGAAAUGAAUAUGAUUUGCAUUGUUAAGGCAUCCAAUCUGCUGGUUUAUAUUUAUGUGAAAGACAGAGGNNNNNNAUAUACAAGCAGACUUAGGAAAGAAAGUAUGUUCAUUGAUUUCUAUGAAGUUUCUCCCUGGAAUUUAAUGCACAAAAUGCGUCACUCCAAAGGGAGAGGUUCCAUGCAUAUUAAUAGAGUAAAACAGCAUUAGGGUUUUCUUCUGUAAGCUUCCAAAGCAAAGGAUACAUUUUUUUUAAUCUACGGAACUAAAUGCUACAAGAAUAAUACGCUACUAUUUUUUGCCAUAAAUUGGAAAAAACUUCUUAACUUACAAAUAAUACAAAAAUAGACAAUGGCUUUUGGGUGAAAAUUAAAAAAAAAUGAAGCAUGGUUUAAAACAAUACUAAAAAUAACUAUAAAUGAAAUGUUUAAAAAUCACAUUGAAACAGCUAACUAUAGGUGACCAAACAAAUACGCACUUUUCACAUAGCAAACAUACACAAUAAAAUAAACUGGGAGUCAGAGGAAAAGGAGGAAGGGGAAAGCAAUGUACAAAUUCCAAAGAUAAAUACAUUAUUUAUAUGGAUAUCUUACAAAAUCCCCUUUAAAACAAAAAGCCUUUUAAUUAAUUUUGCAAGUAUGUGCAAGCUAAAGGUAGUGAGCUUUUUUUUUCCUUUGCAAAAUAUGCAGUAAAAUCUUUUUUAUGAUAUUGAAAAACCAUCUUAAGACAUUAAAAUGUAUAAAUAGAACAACAACUUUGGCAAAAAAUCACAAAAAAUCUACAGUAUUUAUAACUACAUACAAAAACACAACAGCAAAGAAAAAAAUCUCAGGCAAAUGCAUCCUUGGAGCUUUGCUGCCUCUUCACCAUUACCUUCUAUUGCAAGAACACUUCCCAGAUAAUGAGAGCAAUAAUUCCCAUCGAACAGAAAACUGUGUUUUGAGGUCUCAACCUUCUUCUCCUUUCUCCCAGUUUCCUUUCAUUCUUGAUUCCAAAGCACUUAACCGUUGUUUCUAUCUACUAUGUUACAAAUAG